Molecule: long non-coding RNA, 4349 nt
Organism: Drosophila miranda
Lineage: Eukaryota; Metazoa; Arthropoda; Insecta; Diptera; Drosophilidae
Exons: 4
Source: RefSeq, a predicted model, not a curated record
AAAACAGCCAAGACAAAUGUCGAGGUUCGCGUGUGAUGAAAAUAUUAAGCAAAAGUGGAUUUCAGCUUGCAUGUGGUUGCAUUUUCAGGGCCGUUUUGCCUGCUGUUCAUACCCUUUUUUUUCUUCCAUUAUGUGUAUAUAUAUACUGAAUAUAUACUGAAAAUAUACUGAAUGCGAGUACGCGUUGACAAUAAAUCGAAAACUAUAGAGGUGCUACCGUUAAAAUCGUUAAAAGUCAAACCCAAACACACAGACAACGCGAAGACCACGAAGCAAGUGGAUAGCGGAGUAGGCAAAAGUGAAAGAGAAAAUAGAGAGAACGCGAAACGUAACGCAACAAGGCAAUAAACAGUGAGUAAAGCAACCGCUGAAACGACGUGCGACGCGUCGAAAUAAAAGUGUGUAUUAAAAAACCUCAAUAGCCCCCACAUUACGACGAGAAAACUCAAACGACAAAACCAUAGUUGAAUUGAGUGAGAAUAAUAUAUAUAUAUAUAGAGAGAGAGAGAGUAAAUACACCGCUACAAUGUCGGAAGAAGUAAUUCGCAACGAUCCCGAGCUGAAAUACCUUUCGGUGGAACGGAACCAAUACAAUGAUCCGGCCACACAGGCGGAAUGGACACAGAAGCGCCUGGUCUGGGUGCCCCACGAGAAUCAGCAGAGACUAAAUUUUUGCCUGGGAUGACAAACAUUUUCUCAAUUCUAUAAUAUCCUUUCCUAGGGUAUGCAUUGUUGCUUGCAUUUUUCCGCAACAUGGAACGCGAUUAUUGCUUUCCGCCAAUGAAAAUUAUGGCAGGAAACGGCUGCGACAGAAUGUCAGGAUGCGUCGUGUUAAUAUUCCCCAAUAAUUGGUAAUAUUCACCCUAAGUCGAUGUCCAAAUAUAGUAAUUUAAGAACAUAAUUUAAAAGUAUGGAAUGGGACUCAUUGUUGUCAACCGGUUAUUACCGAUUCAAAUAAAUACUGAAAUAUACGGUAUUAUUUUCAAAAUAUACCGACGUAUUUUUGAUAUUCUGGCGAAUAUUACUAGCUAAAUAGAACCCUCAGGCCUGCCCACAUAAUUUUAUCCGACUAAUGAAUCAAUUUUCUACUCGACUGGUUUAUUUUAAAUACUUGCUUUUAUUUGAUUUUGCCCAAAGGUCAAACAAAUAAAACGUAAGAGAUUAUCUAUAUAAUGUGUUUGUACAAAAAUUGUGUGUACACACUUGCAACCAUGGUCGAUCUAUCGGCCUAGCCCGCCAGAUUCGAAUCUAUCCUUUAUCUUUCUAAUCUGUGCGCCCAAAAGUACGCUGACCGCAAUUGCCAAAACUAUGCAUCGUGGUAUAGCCGCUCUAUAUAACGAAUGACCCUUUUAUAUCUUUAUUAUCAUAUUGCUGAUUUUGCAUUGCUUUAUAUGAAUAUAAAACUUGAUCAAAAUGGAAAGACAUGAUGCGAGAUGUGGAUGCGAUGCGAAGUAAAGCAACUAAAAUUUUGUUGUAAUGAUUAGCUCAGUACGAUGAGAAGGUGGGUCGGCGGAACGUGUAUAUACGUUUCACAAGAAAAGUCACAAGUGCAAAAAGAUUGACACACAACUCUAUUUAACUUUUGACAGAUGUCAGAAACAAUCCCAAAUAAGACACCUGCGUUCGUGGAAAAAGCUAUCACCACUAGGUGAAAAAAGGUUAUUGUGCUAAAACAGCUCCAAAAUGAAAACUACGAAGUGCACGAUAUCUAUAUCGCCCUCGUCUGUACCGUCAGCUAGUGUUGGCUCGGUGCAGAUUAUAAAUGUUUAUAGAAUUUUAAUAAAAAGAGAGAAAUAAGAAGCAAAGGAGGCGAAGGAGAAUUGAUUCAAUAAAAAAAAGGUACAGAGGAAGUGCACCAGACCACCGACUGUUUCGUCUACAAUCCGGCCUGUUGCCUCGACGCCUAUCCGGCUUCUGAAUGCUGCGAUGCCGAAAUUAAUAAAUGCAGUUGCUGAUUUACUAUGUAUAUAACAAGGUUGAAAUAAUUAUAGUCAUAAAAUCAAAAUCAAAAUCAACAGAAAUAAAAUGUAAAAACAUUUUGUUCAGCUUUAUAACAUUGUUAUUUAAAAAAAAAGCGCCGAUAAGUUGCGCUUAUCGCACAAAAAUACCGAUAUUUUUUCGCAAGCCUGGAGGGAUUUUUCAUCGCAACACUGUCCAUUUCAUUACGUUUUAUUUCUGACCUUCUUUGCUCAAACCUUAUUUUAGGCACAAUAAAAUUAAAUUAAGCAUUUAAAGCUAGCUAAUCUUCUAGAAAAUUGAUUCAUCUAUCGGAUAAAAUUAUGUUUUGAGGACUGAAGGUCUUAGCUAAUCUUAAGUCGAAUUAAGUCAGCAUGAUUCGUGAUUAAAUAUUUUUAUAGCACUUUAGGUGAAAAAUAUCGUGGUCUUUUUUUAUAUAAAGAUGAAGGACAUGCAAGAGUAAAUAUUAUUUUUUGUCUAGUUCAAGUUAUUAUCAGUUUAAAUAAAGGGGGUUUAAGUGGGCUAAGUACGUUUUUUAUCAGACGGUCAGACUUCUGCUCUCUUCUGAAACGAAAAAAUGAGUCGUUAUUUUUUAAUGGGCCUUAAAAACGGGUAUGGACAACAAACAAGUACAGCCAAGGCAAAUUGCAAGGUUCGUACGAACCUUACCUCGGCGUUGUUGACAAACAAUAUACCUUGAAGUCAAAAGGGUGACUUUAUCCUUUUAUCCUCUUUUUUCUCGUUUUUAUAAUCAAAAAUUCCAUGUAGGUAACAAAAGGGGUUGAUGAAUUAUUCGUCUAAUAAUUUUAAUGUGUCAUAUUGAUAAAUCGUUCACUCUUUCUUGCGACGAAAAAUUGAGUCGUAAUUUAAAAUGGGCUAUAAAAAAGGGUAAGGACAAGGGGCAAAAACAGCCAAGACAAAUGUCGAGGUUCGCGUGUGAUGAAAAUAUUAAGCAAAAGUGGAUUUCAGCUUGCAUGCGGUUGCAUUUUCAGGGCCGUUUUGCCUGCUGUUCAUACCCUUUUUUUUCUGCCAUUAUGUGUAUAUAUAUACUGAAUAUAUACUGAAAAUAUACUGAAUGCGAGUACGCGUUGACAAUAAAUCGAAAACUAUAGAGGUGCUACCGUUAAAAUCGUUAAAAGUCAAACCCAAACACACAGACAACGCGAAGACCACGAAGCAAGUGGAUAGCGGAGUAGGCAAAAGUGAAAGAGAAAAUAGAGAGAACGCGAAACGUAACGCAACAAGGCAAUAAACAGUGAGUAAAGCAACCGCUGAAACGACGUGCGACGCGUCGAAAUGUGAGUUCCUGCGUGUUUGUGUGUGUGUGUGUGCAUGUGUGUGUUGGUGCGCUGAAAGUGCAGCUGUCGCUUGAAACAAAUAAAACCGCACAAUUUCCAUAUAAAAAGACAUUGCAAGACGCAGCUUGCCAGCAAUAUAUCAAUAAAUCGGUAGUGCGAGAAAACAGCGAAAACCGAAGGCGAGGAGCAAGCGCGACAAGAAAAAAUAAAAUGCAUGUAGAAUAAUUUUAACGCCCAAAAGUCUCCGGUCUGUCGGCGACGCUGACGCUGAUGUCGAUGCCAACGCCGACGCCGCUUGUUGAAACAAAUGCAUCGAAAUACGUGCAUUUCGGUGAAAAUUGAGUUGAAUUUGCACAAAUGCAGUGCUGACAAAGUGAAACGAGAGAAUAAAAAACAAUAUUAAUGUGCAAAAUAUGCGGAAAACUGCUUUGAAAUGUGGAGAGCGCAGAACAGCGGUACACAAAAGAAGGAAAGAGAGAAGGGAGAAAAGGAAUGGAAUGAUGGCCGCUUAUACCUGCUCUGCUUCGAAAAAGAAACCGAAACCAGCCACCAAAAAUGUUUGAAACUGUUCUCGCCGCCUCCGUUUUGUGCCGCUCUUCUAAGAUAAAGAGCGCGCGUCUCGAGAUAAAUGCGAAAAAUAUUGUAUCUCAAUGGCCGCGGUGUUUCCGAUGUGAAAAUUAAACGAAACCGUAUUCAUUAUUUUGUGUUUGUUCUGCUCAACAGAAAAGGGUGUAUUAAAAAACCUCAAUAGCCCCCACAUUACGACGAGAAAACUCAAACGACAAAACCAUAGUUGAAUUGAGUGAGAAUAAUAUAUAUAUAUAUAGAGAGAGAGAGAGUAAAUACACCGCUACAAUGUCGGAAGAAGUAAUUCGCAACGAUCCCGAGCUGAAAUACCUUUCGGUGGAACGGAACCAAUACAAUGAUCCGGCCACACAGGCGGAAUGGACACAAAAGCGCCUGGUCUGGGUGCCCCACGAGAAUCAGGUCUUCUGAAAAUGACUAUUCUUAAUGUUGUGAAUAGCCUUCCGAAUCACUUUUUCUGCUGGCUCGUCGGGUAUUUUCAUCUUCACCGCCGCUGAAAUAAUUUUUUAU